GUAGUAUACAACAUAUACUAAAAUUGGAAUGAUACAGAGAAGAUUAGCAUGGCCCCUGCACAAGGAUGACAUGCAAAUUCAUGAAGUGGUCCAUAUUUUU
RNAcentral lists this small nuclear RNA (100 nucleotides) under Cebus imitator (Panamanian white-faced capuchin). Lineage: Eukaryota; Metazoa; Chordata; Mammalia; Primates; Cebidae. The record is from RNAcentral.